GACGAACGCUGGCGGCGUGCCUAAUACAUGCAAGUCGAGCGAGCUUGCCUAGAUGAUUUUAGUGCUUGCACUAAAUGAAACUAGAUACAAGCGAGCGGCGGACGGGUGAGUAACACGUGGGUAACCUGCCCAAGAGACUGGGAUAACACCUGGAAACAGAUGCUAAUACCGGAUAACAACACUAGACGCAUGUCUAGAGUUUGAAAGAUGGUUCUGCUAUCACUCUUGGAUGGACCUGCGGUGCAUUAGCUAGUUGGUAAGGUAACGGCUUACCAAGGCAAUGAUGCAUAGCCGAGUUGAGAGACUGAUCGGCCACAUUGGGACUGAGACACGGCCCAAACUCCUACGGGAGGCAGCAGUAGGGAAUCUUCUACAAUGGACGAAAGUCUGAUGGAGCAACGCCGCGUGAGUGAAGAAGGGUUUCGGCUCGUAAAGCUCUGUUGGUAGUGAAGAAAGAUAGAGGUAGUAACUGGCCUUUAUUUGACGGUAAUUACUUAGAAAGUCAC
Molecule: ribosomal RNA, 506 nt
Filed under: uncultured bacterium
Lineage: Bacteria
Description: bacterial SSU rRNA
Rfam family: Bacterial small subunit ribosomal RNA
Source: RNAcentral